CCGUAGCCCAAGAGAUCGGGAUAACACCUGGAAACAGAUGCUAAUACCGGAUAACAAUAGAUGAUGCCUAUCAACUGUUUAAAAGAUGGUUCUGCUAUCACUCUUGGAUGGACCUGCGGUGCAUUAGCUAGUUGGUAGGGUAACGGCCUACCAAGGCGAUGAUGCAUAGCCGAGUUGAGAGACUGAUCGGCCACAUUGGGACUGAGACACGGCCCAAACUCCUACGGGAGGCAGCAGAC
RNAcentral lists this ribosomal RNA (239 nucleotides) under uncultured Lactobacillus sp. Its description in RNAcentral is "partial 16S ribosomal RNA". It matches the Rfam family "Bacterial small subunit ribosomal RNA", at positions 125 to 354 of the family's 1533-position model. The record is from RNAcentral. Lineage: Bacteria; Bacillati; Bacillota; Bacilli; Lactobacillales; Lactobacillaceae.